UACGUAGGGAGCAAGCGUUGUCCGGAAUCAUUGGGCGUAAAGCGCGCGUAGGUGGCUCUAUAAGUCCGUUGUGAAAGUCAAAGGCUCAACCUUUGAAAGCCGAUGGAUACUGUAGAGCUAGAGUCCGGAAGAGGCGAGUGGAAUUCCUGGUGUAGCGGUGGAAUGCGCAGAUAUCAGGAGGAACACCAAUAGCGAAGGCAGCUCGCUGGGACGUGACUGACGCUGAGACGCGAAAGCGUGGGGAGCGAACAGG
RNAcentral lists this ribosomal RNA (253 nucleotides) under uncultured bacterium. Its description in RNAcentral is "partial 16S ribosomal RNA". It matches the Rfam family "Bacterial small subunit ribosomal RNA", at positions 524 to 776 of the family's 1533-position model. The record is from RNAcentral.